CAUAGGUUUGGUCCCAGCCUUCCUGUUAACUUUCAACAGACUUACACAUGCAAGCAUCCACGCCCCGGUGAGUAACGCCCUCCAAAUCAAUAAGACUAAGAGGAGCAGGUAUCAAGCACACAUCUUGUAGCUUACAACGCCUUGCUUAACCACACCCCCACGGGAGACAGCAGUGACAAAAAUUAAGCCAUAAACGAAAGUUUGACUAAGCCAUGUUGACUAGGGUUGGUAAAUCUCGUGCCAGCCACCGCGGUCAUACGAUUAACCCAAGCUAACAGGAAUACGGCGUAAAACGUGUUAAAGCACUACAUCAAAUAGAGUUAAAUUCUAAUUAAACUGUAAAAAGCCAUAAUUACAACAAAAAUAAAUGACGAAAGUAACCCUACUGCAGCUGAUACACUAUAGCUAAGACCCAAACUGGGAUUAGAUACCCCACUAUGCUUAGCCCUAAACACAAAUAAUUACAGAAACAAAAUUAUUCGCCAGAGUACUACCGGCAAUAGCCCGAAACUCAAAGGACUUGGCGGUGCUUUAUACCCUUCUAGAGGAGCCUGUUCUAUAAUCGAUAA
Molecule: ribosomal RNA, 569 nt
Filed under: Capra aegagrus (wild goat)
Lineage: Eukaryota; Metazoa; Chordata; Mammalia; Artiodactyla; Bovidae
Description: 12S ribosomal RNA
Rfam family: Bacterial small subunit ribosomal RNA
Source: RNAcentral